RNAcentral lists this long non-coding RNA (769 nucleotides) under Salvator merianae (Argentine black and white tegu). RNAcentral describes it as "lncRNA (ENSSMRG00000023373.1)". Lineage: Eukaryota; Metazoa; Chordata; Lepidosauria; Squamata; Teiidae. The record is from RNAcentral.
CCGCCCUCUGGCCGCAUACUGGAUGAUGGUGAUGAGGGAGAGAAGGCUGAUCUGUUGUUUGCUGGCUUAACCCUUUGCAGGUUAUGGGAAAGGAGAAAGAUGGAUUCUUUGUUUUGUGGGGUUUAGGUGUUGAAACGGGAGCACUGUCGGUGUGUACUUGAGCAGAUACCAAGUUUUAUGGAAGAAAGAGAAAUUCUUCAUCUGACUCUGACUCCUGUUCUGGAACAACUUGCAAGCCUCUCAGUCUUACUUUCAUCAGCUCUGUUUUCCCUCACAAACCUAUCUUUUGUUUUGUGAAAAACAGGAAUGGUUGAUGUGCUCCUAAUGUGCUGUCCUGCAGUGAUAGAUUUACAAAUCUCACUGCAUGGAUAAAUCUUGCACAAAUUAUCCUUAUUACUGUGUAAGAGGAGAUUCAGAAGCGCCAUACAUCAUCUCAACGUGCUGUUUAUACAAAUGAAAGUCUCCUUUGGGAANAGGAAUAUUUGUCAGCAGCUCAGACCCAGACCUAGGUAUAUGAGGAAGUGUUCCAGGCCAGGAGGAGCCAUCUCUGUGAUGUGCAGUUUGGUGUGCUUGCAGAUCUUGCUGUUAUCGGGGAGAGAACCUUUGUUCAGCAGACCUGUACUUGGUUCAGGCAAAUCCAACCGAAGAUUUCAGCUGCACUGUUGCCUUGCCUCCCUGAGUUUGCAGUUCCAUCCACACUGCUAUGGUAUACAAUAAUAAAUAAAAAUAGAUAGGUGGGUUACUUCUCUAGCUUACAGGAGCCUUCUUC